RNAcentral lists this non-coding RNA (64 nucleotides) under unclassified sequences. RNAcentral's name for it is "RAGATH-18 RNA". It matches the Rfam family "RAGATH-18 RNA". Rfam says of the family: Actinobacteria, Firmicutes, Fusobacteria, Thermotogae (1 example). The record is from Rfam by way of RNAcentral.
CCUUUGGAGUGCUAUAUCAAACAAUAUUAGGUUUAUACCGAGGUUGGGCACGAAGAAUAAGGAA